AUGGCGUCUGAACCCCGCCGUCCUCGUCCGUCGCGCUGCCGGCGACCAAGCCGCCUGAGUCACAGUGCUGCCUCCCCUGCUCUAUGUGCGAGCACGGAGGAUGAGGACGACAACACCAAGUCCAAGCCGCAUCGCCCGGUUCCUGCCGUUCUGCACCAUCCCCGCCGCCGUGCGAAGGUCCAGCCACCCUCAUCCUCGCCGUACCUGCAAGCAGCUUCGCUGCGCCCUGCAACUCCGCUCGUGCGAGGCGUUGACCAGACGAGCCGCUCGCCCCGCGCCUCCUUUGGCAUCACGCGCGUUGACCCCUGCGGUCCUCGCUUCGAGCCGGAGGUAGCAGUCAACCGCAUCGCCAGCCGCAGUCCCGCUGCCGUGGCCUCCUGCAUCGCUGGUGUCCUUUGCAUCGUAGCAGUUGCAAAGGAGGACGAGCGCCUCGACCCCCUGCAUCGCUAG
Molecule: ribosomal RNA, 450 nt
Filed under: Triticum aestivum (bread wheat)
Lineage: Eukaryota; Viridiplantae; Streptophyta; Magnoliopsida; Poales; Poaceae
Description: partial small subunit ribosomal RNA
Source: RNAcentral